UGAGGAAUAUUGGUCAAUGGGAGCAAUCCUGAACCAGCAAUGCCGCGUGUGGGAUGAAGGCGCUUCGCGUCGUAAACCACUGUCGGACGGGACGAAAGGAGCUAUGAAGCUCUAGGACGGUACCGUCAAAGGAAGGAUCGGCUAACUACGUGCCAGCAGCCGCGGUAAUACGUAGGAUCCAAGCGUUGUCCGGAUUUACUGGGUAUAAAGGGUGCGUAGGCGGCCUUGUGCGUCAGAGGUGAAAUCUCCGGGCUUAACCCGGAGGGUGCCUUUGAUACGGCAGGGCUUGAGUGCGAGAGAGGAUGAUGGAAUUCCUGGUGUAGCGGUGAAAUGCGUAGAUAUCAGGAGGAACACCGGUGGCGAAGGCGGUCAUCUGGCUCGAAACUGACGCUGAGGCACGAAAGCGUGGGGAUCAAACAGG
RNAcentral lists this ribosomal RNA (421 nucleotides) under Bacillota bacterium. RNAcentral describes it as "Firmicutes bacterium partial 16S ribosomal RNA". It matches the Rfam family "Bacterial small subunit ribosomal RNA", at positions 355 to 776 of the family's 1533-position model. Lineage: Bacteria; Bacillati; Bacillota. The record is from RNAcentral.